AUUGAACGCUGGCGGCAUGCCUUACACAUGCAAGUCGAACGGCAGCACGGGAGCAAUCCUGGUGGCGAGUGGCGAACGGGUGAGUAAUAUAUCGGAACGUGCCCAGUCGUGGGGGAUAACGCAGCGAAAGCUGUGCUAAUACCGCAUACGAUCUAAGGAUGAAAGCGGGGGAUCGCAAGACCUCGCGCGAUUGGAGCGGCCGAUAUCAGAUUAGCUAGUUGGUGGGGUAAAGGCCCACCAAGGCGACGAUCUGUAGCUGGUCUGAGAGGACGCCCAGCCACACUGGAACUGAGCGACGGUGCAGACUCCUACGGGAGGCAGCAGUGGGGAAUUUUGGACAAUGGGCGCAAGCCUGAUCCAGCAAUGCCGCGUGCAGGAUGAAGGCCUUCGGGUUGUAAACUGCUUUUGUACGGAACGAAACGGCCCUUUCUAAUACAGGGGGCUAAUGACGGUACCGUAAGAAUAAGCACCGGCUAACUACGUGCCAGCCGCCGCAGUAA
Molecule: ribosomal RNA, 500 nt
Filed under: uncultured bacterium
Lineage: Bacteria
Description: partial 16S ribosomal RNA
Rfam family: Bacterial small subunit ribosomal RNA
Source: RNAcentral